GUGGUUUAAUUCGAAGCAACGCGCAGAACCUUACCAGUCCUUGACAUGGGGAGUUUGGUUUCCGGAGACGGAUUCCUUCAGUUCGGCUGGCUCCCACACAGGUGCUGCAUGGCUGUCGUCAGCUCGUGUCGUGAGAUGUUCGGUUAAGUCCGGCAACGAGCGCAACCCACAUCCUUAGUUGCCAGCAGUUCGGCUGGGCACUCUAGGGAAACUGCCCGUGAUAAGCGGGAGGAAGGUGUGGAUGACGUCAAGUCCUCAUGGCCCUUACGGGUUGGGCUACACACGUGCUACAAUGGCAUCUACAGUGGGCAGCUAUCACGCGAGUGUGAGCUAAUCUCCAAAAGAUGUCUCAGUUCGGAUUGUUCUCUGCAACUCGAGAGCAUGAAGGCGGAAUCGCUAGUAAUCGCGGAUCAGCAUGCCGCGGUGAAUACGUUCCCAGGCCUUGUACACACCGCCCGUCACACCAUGGGAGUUGGGUCUACCUGACGACGGUGCGCUAACCCUUCGGGGAGGCAGCCGGCCACGGUAGGCUCAGCGACUGGGGUGAAGUCGUAACAAGGUAACCGUAGGGGAACCUGCGGUUGGAUCACCUCCUU
This 596-nucleotide ribosomal RNA is filed under the name Pteridomonas danica. Its description in RNAcentral is "partial Bacterial small subunit ribosomal RNA". It matches the Rfam family "Bacterial small subunit ribosomal RNA", at positions 941 to 1532 of the family's 1533-position model. Lineage: Eukaryota; Dictyochophyceae; Pedinellales. The record is from RNAcentral.